RNAcentral lists this ribosomal RNA (263 nucleotides) under uncultured bacterium. RNAcentral describes it as "partial 16S ribosomal RNA". It matches the Rfam family "Bacterial small subunit ribosomal RNA", at positions 793 to 1055 of the family's 1533-position model. The record is from RNAcentral.
GUCCACGCCGUAAACGAUUGGUGCUAGGUGUGGGGGGUGUCGACUCCCCCCGUGCCGAAGCUAACGCAUUAAGCACCCCGCCUGGGGAGUACGGCCGCAAGGCUAAAACUCAAAGGAAUUGACGGGGGCCCGCACAAGCAGCUGAGCAUGUGGUUUAAUUCGACGCAACGCGAAGAACCUUACCAAGGCUUGACAUGGACUUGAAAAACGUGGAAACACGUUCCCUCUUCGGAGCAAGUUCACAGGUGGUGCAUGGCUGUCGU